RNAcentral lists this ribosomal RNA (939 nucleotides) under uncultured organism. Its description in RNAcentral is "bacterial SSU rRNA". It matches the Rfam family "Bacterial small subunit ribosomal RNA", at positions 549 to 1501 of the family's 1533-position model. The record is from RNAcentral.
AUUUACUGGGCGUAAAGCGUCUGCAGACGGACAGCUAAAUUGGGCGUGAAAGCUCCGGGCCCAACCCGGAGAGGUCGUUCAAUACUGCGUGUCUAGAGGGUGUCAGAGGGGAGUGGAAUUUCCGGAGUAGCGGUAAAAUGCGCAGAGAUCGGAAAGAACACCAAUGGCGAAGGCAGCUCCCUGGGGCAACCCUGACGCUAAGAGACGAAAGCUAGGGGAGCGAACAGGAUUAGAGACCCUGGUAGUCCUAGCCCUAAACGAUGGAUGCUGGAUGUGGGGCCACAGCGCUCCGUGUCGAAGCGAACGCGUUAAGCAUCCCGCCUGGGGACUGCGGCCGCAAGGUUAAAACUCAAACGAAUUGACGGGACCCCGCACAAGCAGCGGAGCGUGUGGUUUAAUUCGAUGCUACACGAAGAACCUUACCUGGGUUUGACAUCUAGGUGGUAGUGAAGCGAAAGCGGAGCGACCCUUCGGGGAGCCUAGACAGGUGCUGCAUGGCUGUCGUCAGCUCGUGCCGUGAGGUGUCGGGUUAAGUCCCGUAACGAGCGCAACCCUUGCCCUCCGUUAUACGUGUCAGAGGGGACUGCCGCCGGUAAGCCGGAGGAAGGUGGGGAUGACGUCAAGUCAGCAUGGCCUUUAUAUCCAGGGCUACACACACGCUACAAUGGCCAGUACAAAGGGCAGCGAAGCCGCGAGGUGGAGCGAAUCCCAGCAAAGCUGGUCGUAGUUCGGAUUGCAGGCUGCAACCCGCCUGCAUGAAGCUGGAGUUGCUAGUAACCGCGCGUCAGCCAUAGUGCGCUGAUACGUUCCCGGGGUUUGUACACACCGCCCGUCACGUCAUGGGAGUCGAUNACGCCUGAAGCCGCUGUCCUAGCUCGGAAGAGAGGGCGCUGUCUAAGGCGGGGUCGGUGACUGGGACGAAGUCGUAANCAGUAAGCC